Molecule: RNase P RNA, 329 nt
Filed under: human gut metagenome
Description: Bacterial RNase P class A
Rfam family: Bacterial RNase P class A
About the family: Ribonuclease P (RNase P) is a ubiquitous endoribonuclease, found in archaea, bacteria and eukarya as well as chloroplasts and mitochondria. Its best characterised activity is the generation of mature 5'-ends of tRNAs by cleaving the 5'-leader elements of precursor-tRNAs.
Source: RNAcentral
GAGCGGGCCGGGCAGCCGCGUGCCUUUCGGCAUGAGGAAAGUCCGAGCUUCACAGGGCAGGAUAACGGCUAACGGCCGCCGGGGGCGACCCUAGGGAAAGUGCAACAGAGAGAUACCGCCGUGCUUUUACACGGUAAGGGUGGAAAGGCGAGGUAAGAGCUCACCGGCGCAUGGGAGACCAUGCGGCCCUGCAAACCCUAUCCGAAGCAACGCCGACCGAAGCGAUACAUUGGCCCGAUGUGCUUCAACGGGCGGCUAGAGCCGUAUGGCAACAUGCGGUCGAGAUAGAUGGCUGUCCAAGACAGAACUCGGCUUACAGGCCCGCUCAU